This 336-nucleotide ribosomal RNA is filed under the name Triticum aestivum (bread wheat). RNAcentral describes it as "partial small subunit ribosomal RNA". Lineage: Eukaryota; Viridiplantae; Streptophyta; Magnoliopsida; Poales; Poaceae. The record is from RNAcentral.
AUGUACGCGUUGAAGACGGGGUCGAUGGCGAGUGUACGGGCCAUCCUUGCUCGAUUCAGUGCUCGGGGUAGACGAAGUAGACCGCCACGGUUCUCCUGGACCUCUUGGCGCGACGAGGGGAGGCCGGUGGCCGCGACAUCGAUGACGACAUGGGGACGGCGGCGCUCGGGCGCGCUUCAGAUCAAGAUAAAGAGAUGGAGGAAGAAAGAGGGGAUUAGGGUUCGGUCAAGGGGGCGUGCGGCGGCGUUUUGUAGGGCACCGGGGAGGUCGGCGAUGGCCGGCACGUGGCCCUGGCCGUGGGAUGGCCGCCACGGCAACCCCCUGCCUCCACUGUAG